Macadamia integrifolia is the source of this 1446-nucleotide RNA transcript. RefSeq lists it as uncharacterized. The transcript is spliced from 3 exons. Lineage: Eukaryota; Viridiplantae; Streptophyta; Magnoliopsida; Proteales; Proteaceae. The record is from RefSeq and is a predicted model, not a curated record.
CCAACCUGACUCUUCCCAAAACCCUAAAAAUAACAGCUUUUUAACUGUAAACCCAAAUUACUAAGAAGCCACCAUGGAAUCGAUCUUACAUUCGUUGUCAUUUCAAUCCUUACUCAUGAUGAUCCUCGUCCCCACGUCGUUUUAAACCCUAAACGAAACUCUCAAUUUCUUCACUUCCUAGUCCUAUCCUCCUCCUAUUACUACUCCAUCUCUCCAUUUUCCUUCUAGUUGGCCUCCAUGGGUUGUGGGGGUUCGAAGCUCGAAAAUGACGACAAUGUUGCUCCCCUAGGGCUUCGACCCUUCCGCCGCAGGAUCGAAGAGAUCAGGCAGCGUAGGAAUGGUCGCGCCAUAAACGAUGGCACUUAUACUAAAGGGCUUCUAAACGAUGAAGAAGAAGAUAGCCCUAACGCCCACUACAGCGAAAACAGCCAGAGCGUGUCUUUGCCGUCUGAGAACGAGGGUGUAGGGUCGGGAAAGGGGCAAUCCGCCCCUAUAAAGGACGCAACAGCAGCGAAAGUUCAUCAUCAUGAGGAGUCCACACCCGGAAAAGAUGGCAAAAUCAAUAAGAUUUUUCCGGAAUCCGAUAAAAACUCGAAGACGGAGGUGGAGGAAACGGAGAGAGGAGUGGAGAUGGAUAACUGUGUGGGAAAGGAAGAUAGUGGUAGUAAUCGUGGUGAUGACAAUGAUGACGACGGAGGCGGAGGAGGAGAUGGAGGCUAUUUUGAUUGGGAUGGUGCCAUGAUCGCCCCUGGAUCCCCCAGUUUCAGAGACUAUUUCCUCUCUGCAGCAAUUAAUGUGGCCGAUAGAGAUUCGAGUAAUGCCGGCCACGGAGAAGAUACGAGUGUUGAAGUGAAGACACAGGAUAAACCAUCGCGAAGGAAGGGGAAUCGUUCAAGUUCAAGCGAGGUUCAUUGUUCUUUUCGCCUCAUUACAAUUCCUUUCACUGUUUUGGCCAAAUGUAAUCUACGCCUUGCUUUGUUCUUAAUAUUUAUGCUUGCUAAGAAUCUUGUUUGGCUUAGGUUGAGUUUAUUUUGUCAUUGCUACAGCAACAAUAGGGAUAGGGUUCCUUGAGUGGGCAGACUGGCUUUCACCUCUCACUUAUGGAAAGAAUUAAUAAAUAAAAUCAGAGCAGCCAUAGGCUAUACCACUUGUUCAGAGAGACUUUUCCCAUAAACUUUAGGAGAGGGUUCUCUAAGCAAGUAGGUUACUACUAUAUGCCCUCUCACAUUAAUGGAAAAGAGUUUUUUGGCAUAAUGUGUGGCAAUAGAAGUGCAUAUGGAAGCAUUAAUGGGGAUAGGUUUUUUCACAUUUCAUGGUGGAAUCAAUUGAGAAAUUAGUUAAAAAAGAAGGCAAAGGAAGGAGAAUCAUAAAUGUUUUACCAAAGGGUAAGCAAGUUGGUGUAAAGAAUUUGUUGAAUGUUCGAUCAUGCUACCACCACGCCAAACC